Molecule: non-coding RNA, 726 nt
Organism: Sus scrofa (pig)
Lineage: Eukaryota; Metazoa; Chordata; Mammalia; Artiodactyla; Suidae
Source: RefSeq, a predicted model, not a curated record
AAUCAGGACAAUUCUGUCUUAGCCUCUAGCUGGUCUAGUGGCUGGGACUCCUGGUCCUCCUCCAGGCUGCCCAGGUUCAAUUCCUGAGCAGAGAAUUAAGAUCUCACUUCAAGCGGUCACUCCCUGCUGUCUCUCUCAGAUCAAGGGGACUCUCAAAGCAGCUUCCAGACUGAGCUUGUGCCUGGCCCACUGCGCCCGGGCUGGAAGCGCUGUCUGGCGAGGAUGCGGGCGGAUGUAGGGGAGGGAGGAAAAAGCGAAAGGAGAGAAAAGUCCCAAACAGGGUUACAGAGCCCUGUGCAUUGUGAAGUCUUCCAAUACGCUGCAGAUAGACUCUUCUAGAAUGUCUGUAGAAACGACUUAAUAACAUACAGAACCCACGCGACAGGCUGACACUUGGAACAAACAAGUUGCGACAAUAGAUGGCUCCCCUGUGAAGACUGGCGGAAGGCAGACAGGUACCCUCCCUCCAGCCGACCGGACGAGGCUACAGCCUGUGAGGGUCUUGGGCGCUGCAGCCCCACGCAACACUCAGGAGAAGGCUGGCCCCCAGGACGUGGCCCCUCGGCCAGGUUGAAUAAACAGCUAGAUGACUCCCAGAACUCAUUAAAGUGCUUGCUUACUGUUACCUGUUUAUUAUCAAGGACACGACGUGGGAACAGCCAGAUGGCAAGGUCUGGGGAGGGCUGCAGAGCUUCCACGCCCUCUCCAGGCGGCCCUCCCUCCCAG